AGGUUCUGAGAGGCGGGCUAGUGGCUUGUACUAUAGCAUAGCCUGCCUUUGCUGGUGUGUGGCAAUUAGGCCUGGUGGAACUGCCAUCAAUAAAUCAAGCGUGAUCAGGGUGAGGAACAGGAAAGAAGGAAAUAUGGGGAAACGGGGUGAAUAUCAGGUGGAUCAGAGAGAUACAGUCAUGGGGGUCAUGUGUGGUAUCAGGAAUAAUGUGAGAGGCCAGAUUGAAGUCCACGCCAGGAACAAUGGUAAUUGUGGGAGACUCAACAAAGAGUGAGUAUAGCUGAAGGAGCCGGGAAGCAGAAAGUAUAUGCGUCAGGUAUGAGGAAGAAAAUAGAUUUUGGAAGUUAUGAGAACUGUAGAGAGUGAGUUGAGCAUAGUUUGUGAUUUUGAGGGCCUCUAAAAGUAUUAAAGCAGCGGCAGCCGCUGCACGCAGACACGAGGGGUAGGCUAAAACAGUAAGGUCAAGUUGUUUGCACAGAAAGGCUACAGGGUGCGGUCCUGGCUCUUGUGUAAGAAUUCUGACUGCACUAACUAUGCCUAGGAAGGAAAGGAGUUGUUGUUUUGUAAGAGAUUGAGGUUUGGGAGAUUAAUAGGACACGAUCAGCAGGGAAAGCACGUAUGUUUUUAUGAGAAUUAUGCCGAGAUAGGUAACAGAUGAGGAUGAAAUUUGGGCUUGACUGAAGUAAUGGGGGCUGUCUAUGAAGCCUUGUGGCAGUACAGCCUAGGUAAUUUGCUGAGCCUAAUAGGUGUCAGGGUCAGUCCAAGUGAAAGAAAAGAGAGGCUGGGACGAGGGGUGCAGGGGAAUAGUGAAAAAAGCAUCUUUAAGAUCAAGCACGGAAUAGUGAGUGGUGGAGGAAGGUAUUGAGGAUAGGAGAGUAUAUGGGUUGGGCACCACAGGGGGGAUAGGCAAAACAAUUUGGUUGAUAAGGCACAGAUCCUGAACUAACUUGUAAGGCUUGUCUGGUUUUAGGACAGGUAAAAUGGGGGAAUUGUAAGGAGAGUUUAUAGGCUUUAAAAGGCCAUGCUGUAGCAGGCGAGUGAUAACAGGUUUAAUCUUUUUAAAGCGUGCUGUGGGAUGGGAUAUUGGCAUUGAGUGGGGUAAGGGUGAUUAGGUUUUAAUGAGAUGGUAAGGGGUGCAUGAUUGGUAGCCAAGGAGGGAGUAGAGGUAUCUUAUACUUGUGGGUUAAGGUGGGGGGAUACAAGAGGAGGACGCAAAGGAGGCUUUGAAUUGGGAAGAAGGGUGGCAAUGAGAUACAGCUGUAGUCCAGGAAUAGUCAGGGAAGCAGAUAAUUUAGUUAAAGUGUCUCAGCCUAAUAAGGGAACUGGGCAGGUGGGGAUAAUGAAAAAGGAGUGCUUAAAAGAGUAUUGUCUAAGUUGGCACCAGAGUUGGGGAGUUUUAGGAGGUUUAGAAGCCUGGCCGUCAAUACCCACAACAGUUAUGGAGGCAAGGGAAACAGGUCCUUGAAAAGAAGAUAAUGUGGAGUGGGUAGCCUCCGUAUUGAUUAAGAAGGGGACGGGCUUACCUUCCACCGUGAGAGUUACCUGAAGCUCGGCGUCCGUGAUGGUCUAGGGGGCUUCCAAGGUGAUUGGGCAGUGUCAUCUUCAGCCGCUAAGCCGAGAAGAUCUGGGAAGGAGUCAGUCAGCCUUGGGCCAGAGUUCCAGGGGUUCUGGGAGUGGCUGUCAGGUAGAAGAGAGAAAGGGAAAACACAAAGACCAAGCUGGGAGACCAAACACUGUCAAGGUGGCAUUUUGCCAACAUGCCACAAAAGCAAGCACAGAGAGACGCCAGAGAGUGAGCAGUUGGCUGGAGUGGAGAAAACACCAGGAAAUGGAAGGAAAAUGGUGAGAAAUGAGGCAGAAGCCAAGUGGAUGGAGAAAUAUCAAGAUGACAUGCACAUUCUAACGACAAGCCUGCAGCCAUAAGUAUGGAUGGGUCAGAAGUAUUUUUUUCUCACCCCAUCCCUCACUGUGUUGUCUUUUGUUUAUAUCGAACAUUUUCUACCUCAAUCACUAUAUACAUCAGCAUGCUAGGACACAAUACUGUGUGGUUCAGGUAAAACAGGCAAAUUUUCAAAACUCAUGUUUGAGAUAUUCCUAGUAACCACCCAGAAGUCAUAAUUUUUGCACAAUGUGUGAGUUAGGGAGUUGUUGACUUUGCCUUCUUGUUUUUCAGAUUUGGUUAAUAGUGAAUGGUGUGUUGCUACCGAUCUUGGCAAUGCUCAUGUGGUUUGGAAGGUUUUCCCCUGGACCCACUGGCAGUAGGACAUAAACAAGCCAUGUCCCAGUAGGGCGAUGUGCAGGCUUGGUUCCAGCUUGGCACCUUUCCUCUGCUAUCUUCAUAAGCACUCCCUGGAAAUACCACCUCCAAUCUCAUGAUGAACUGCACGGUGGAAAAACACUUAUUUGAGUAAAACCAAAAGCUUCCUAGUCAUCAUUCUUAGACAGUUCAGUCCAGUCCAAUGGACUGCGCAUUUUGUGGGGCAACCAAGGAGUUACAAUGAUUCCCAAAUGCUACGUGGACUGAUCAGUAAUAUCAGAGGCAAAUACUUGGCAGGUGAAGUGGCUGGAACUCUUGGAGUUUUGGCCAACACAAUGUGGAUGUUUUUGAAUUGUUGUACUUUUUGUCAGCUCACAGCUUCAGUGGUUUACCACUGUCCCCUUCAUUCUGUCUUAUAUCAAAUACUCCCAACCCUUCUGUUUCUCACCUGGUUUGAACUGGCUAGGCCUCACAAUUGUAGAUUCUCAUGGAAGCCUGAAGUCUUCCUCAGUUACUGUAUUACAAAUUCAUUUUGAAUACUUGUCUGUUUAUGUAAGUGUCUCUUCUCCAAUAUCAAGAAAUAACCAUAAAGGUAGUAACCACAUUUCUCUAGUUGUCUGUUGCCUUCCCAGGAUCUAGCAGAGGCUGCAUGCACACUUGUUGAAAGAAUUGUUAGUUAGCUGGUAGGCACUGCAAUGUCCCUGAAAGGAUGCAGGAGGGAUCUGUUACUUCACCAAGAUUAACAUGUAAAUUAGAAAACAAAUCAUUUUAGUGUCUUCACUCCUGUGUGUGUUGUGGGGGGGGGGGAGGGGGCGGGGGCCUGUUUCUGGUCCAGCCCUCAACUUUGAAAGCCUGAAAUUUAAAUCUUUUAUGUCUGUUCAAGUCUUGGUUUUCUCUUCCAGAAUGCAGUGUACCAAGUGGCCUCCUUCAUUGCCUGCAUUUUGAAUGCAGUCAGGCUGCACAGUGGAAUGGAAAUCCCUGGCCAAGAUAUACCUCUUAAAAGAAAAUAAUCUCUUCCUCUGUGUGUAUGCCUGCGUCUACAUAUGUAUUGUGGGGACCAGAAUAUACCACCCCAAAAUAUAAAUGACUGUUGAACUGAAGGCAAUUAAGAAGAAGUAGGUACAGGAAAGAGCUCUCCUCUCCCUUUAUUUGCCUAAAAGUAGGACACAGGCUUAUAAGGACAAAAGGAAUCCUGCCCUGCCUUCUUCUCCUAUGGGAGAACAAAGGUUAACCACGGAAGACAACCUUGGGCACUGAUGACCCUGGAGAUGAUACCAGAGGCAUCUCCACGAGCAAGCUUCCCUAACUCGCCUUUAUUUACCAUUAUGUGUCUUCCUGCAAGCUGCUGCCCUGGAGAACCCAAGUCCUUUUCUUUGUCUUGUUACUUCCUUAAAAAUGUACUGUUCUUUGUUAAAAAUGCUAUACAAGCCAGAAUUCAAAGCCAUCCCUUUGAGGACUACUCAUUCCCUUGGCGUCUUUCAUGUACCUAUGAAAUAUACACAUUAAUAAACUUCCAUUUGUUUUUCUCUCAUUAAUCUGUCUUUUGCUACAAGAGUCCAUUCCAACUCUGAACUUAUGAGUGUUAAUUAUCUUUAUUCCCCCAGAGUUCAUAUGCGUGUGCGUUCGUAUGAAU
Molecule: long non-coding RNA, 3890 nt
Filed under: Homo sapiens (human)
Lineage: Eukaryota; Metazoa; Chordata; Mammalia; Primates; Hominidae
Description: HSALNT0404283
Source: RNAcentral